Molecule: non-coding RNA, 161 nt
Organism: Dipodomys ordii (Ord's kangaroo rat)
Lineage: Eukaryota; Metazoa; Chordata; Mammalia; Rodentia; Heteromyidae
Source: Rfam
GUGAGGGGCUGGGCGAAAGAAGGGAGGGGAGAGGAUGGGGAAACGCGCGCCCCAAGAGCGAAAGCAAACAGCCAGCUAGGGAGGCGCUGCCGGCAGCUCAAGCUUCCCAACAGGUUAGCUAGACUGGGAUCCACCCGGUAUUUCGCAGGAAGGGGGGGGUC